GUCCACGCCGUAAACGAUGAAUACUAGUUGUGGGAGGUAUCGACUCCUUCCGUGACGACGUUAACACAUUAAGUAUUCCGCCUGGGGAGUACGGCCGCAAGGUUGAAACUCAAAGAAAUUGACGGGGACCCGCACAAGCAGCGGAGCAUGUGGUUUAAUUCGACGCAACGCGAAAAACCUUACCAGGGUUUGACAUCCUUUGAUCGUCCAAGAGAUUGGAUUUCCCUUCGGGGCAGAGAGACAGGUGGUGCAUGGUUGUCGU
This 262-nucleotide ribosomal RNA is filed under the name uncultured bacterium. Its description in RNAcentral is "partial 16S ribosomal RNA". It matches the Rfam family "Bacterial small subunit ribosomal RNA", at positions 793 to 1055 of the family's 1533-position model. The record is from RNAcentral.